This 449-nucleotide ribosomal RNA is filed under the name uncultured bacterium. Its description in RNAcentral is "partial 16S ribosomal RNA". It matches the Rfam family "Bacterial small subunit ribosomal RNA", at positions 338 to 795 of the family's 1533-position model. The record is from RNAcentral.
CCUACGGGGGGCAGCAGUGGGGAAUUUUGGACAAUGGGGGCAACCCUGAUCCAGCCAUUCCGCGUGAGUGAAGAAGGCCUUCGGGUUGUAAAGCUCUUUCGGCCGGGAAGAAAUCGCAUCUCCUAAUACGGGGUGUGGAUGACGGUACCGGAAGAAGAAGCACCGGCUAACUACGUGCCAGCAGCCGCGGUAAUACGUAGGGUGCUAGCGUUAAUCGGGCGUACUGGGCGUAAAGCGUGCGCAAGAGGCGAAAGCCCCGGGCUUAACCUGGGAACUGCGUUUGUGACUGGUGGGCUUGAGUGCGGCAGAGGGGGGUGGAAUUCCACGUGUAGCAGUGAAAUGCGUAGAGAUGUGGAGGAACACCGAUGGCGAAGGCAGCCCCCUGGGUCGACACUGACGCUCAUGCACGAAAGCGUGGGGAGCAAACAGGAUUAGAUACCCUUGUAGUC